GUGAAAGACUUGCCUAUUGAUUGACCCGUCUCCAUCAAUAUAGCGAGUCCAUAGCAUUUCCCCUCUUCCCAAUAGCAUAAGCACGAACCUUCUUGUAGUGUCUAUCCAGCAAAAGAAGAGAAAACAUAUGCUAUAAUGGGGUGCUUCAGGUGAUGGGAACAUCGAUGAAUAGGAGGAGCUUGCUUCAGGCCAAGGGUGGCUGCCCUGUGAGCUUUGAGAACCAGAACUACACGACCAUCACCAGCAAGUGCAAAUCGCCAUGGCCUGCCGACCUCUGCUGCCCAGCUCUGAACGAGUUCGCAUGCAAUUUCAGCCAAUAUAUCAACGACGAAAGCACCAACUGCGCAGAAUCGAUGUGGGCCUACCUCAACGCCCAUGGAAACUAUCCAGCUGGCCUGUUUUCAAACGAGUGCGCAGUGCUUGACUGCAACGGUAACAAUAGCACCAUUAGUACUAACCAAACUGCUAAUGGAAGCGGCACCCGAGGGGCUAAAGGAAUAACAGAGAUGUACUCACUUGUGACGACCUUAAUUGUAUCUGGAUUCCCGGUGUUAUUGUUCUACUGAAUGAAGUACUCCCUCCGUUUCACAAUGUAAGUCAUUCUAGCAUUUCCCACAUUCAUAUUGAUGCUAAUGAAUCUAUAUAAAUAUAGAAUGACUUACAUUGUGAAACGGAGGAAGUAAGAAAAGAUGCACUAUCACACAGAAUGGACAUGUUACAGUUGUGGUAAUAAGUUGCGUUUCAGCAUAUAUAUACAUUACGAGAUAAGAGUACCCCCAGAUUUCCUUUUUUUUUUCUUCUUAAUUUUCUUUCAUGGCAUUUACACUCAUUCAAUACAUGUGGAUAUUUUUUUUCUUCUUUUGAGCAAUAAUGCUUCUCUUUACUCUUGU
This 890-nucleotide long non-coding RNA is filed under the name Oryza sativa Indica Group (long-grained rice). RNAcentral describes it as "lncRNA OsPr106_06g0012680". The record is from RNAcentral. Lineage: Eukaryota; Viridiplantae; Streptophyta; Magnoliopsida; Poales; Poaceae.